ACGUACUUCCGCUUCCAGUUUACAGAGCAUGCGGCCUGGUUAAGGGUGGCUCGGGUAGUCGGGUAACGGGCGUUAGUGACAGGGAACAACUGACAUCGUUACAUCUUCAUUCCGCACCUGACCCUCUGCAAGGAAUGACAGCCCUGGUUUAAAAGUACGAUUGCGCAGAUCGGAAGUGAACGGGCGAGAAGGAGCGAGAUGCAGAAGGGCCGUGGGAUCGGGGGUUCUAGAGGAAAUGGACCGUGGAAGCAGAGUUGAUUAAUUGGUCUGGAAGCAGUGGUGCUAUUGUGGCAUCUGCAGAAGGAAAGUAGCACACUGUUCUGAUUCUUAAUGAAAAUGGAAGAAGUGUCAUUACCUGGCCUGGAGAACAGCAAAUCUGAGGAUUUGAAUAAGACUGAUUUCAUAUCUGACACAGUAAGGGGAGUUGGAUAGAGAAAUGUGGCUGAACCUAUGGGGAACUGAUUCUCAUCAGUGUCACUUUUACAGGAUCCAAAGGCAACUAUAAGUAUGGUAUUAAUGGUGUUUGUUAUUUUAAACACUGAACUAACCAACUACAACAUUAAUUUUGAUCUUUGAAUGACAUUGGAUAUUUUUACGCUAAUCUUAUUGUUUAUUUCCUAUUCCUUCUUUAUGUGGGAGUCCUUAUAUUUGGCAGAGUCUUUACAUGUUACAUUUCACCUCUGGCAAGUGUUAACAAAUAAAGGCUUGGAGUGAUCUUAAAAGACACCAAUGAAAUGGAAUGGAAUUCGCUGUUGUUACUUCUAAGUUUGAUAUUCUGAGAAGUGGUCAGUAAUGGUUGUUUGGAUCUUUUACUCAACAUAUAAUGAGCCCUGAUACGAAAUAGGCAUCUAAACUUUUAAACAUAGCAUGAAGUCUCAAAAGGAUCUUCAAGUUACUGCAAGAAAUUUGGAUUGUGUUGAUUCCAUUUUCUGAAAUUAAUAGACACUAAACUCUGACCUGGUGAAACAUCUUUGUUUAGUAUCAGACAUCUGAUGAUCUGCUGUAAUAUUCUCCUGUAGAGGUCUGUAGCUCUGUUAUGAUGGAAUGUACAGAUUCUUAAUCUCCAUGAUCUAAAUAUUAAUCUUCAGUGAUGAAUACAUUCAAAGUGAACUUGCCAAUCUGACAAUUGCUUCACAUACUGUCAAUGGGACAGAAAUUUCAGUUUAUGUUUUAGAGCUUUCUGUGAUAAGAGGAAAGAAAUUUCUAAAAAAUCUUGAAAAUUUGCUUUGGACAAGUGAAGAUGCUCAUCUAGAAUACGUCAGAUCUGGAAAAUGAAAGAUAUGGUCUGGAAUAAGUGUUGAGUACACUGAUGAGUCCAUCCUUUUAGUCAGUGUAUCUAUAUUGUGAGUCAAGCAAUGAGUGUAUAGCAGUCUCUGGGAAUGUAAUCCGCCUUGCUGUGAUUAAACUUAAGAAUAAUUUUGCUCAGAUGAUGAUCUAGACUUGUCUAAAUUUCUGUGCUUUUGAUAGAACAGAUGAAGGUCAAAGUUGUUUCAAAAGUAAACUGUUUAAUGUGAACUCUACAGCCAUGCCCAAACUGAAAUGAGUUUCUUUGGAGAAGAGCCAGAAAUACUGGAAGCAACUGAAAUAUGAAUGUGACCAGCAGCAGAACAAAGGGCACAGUGACCAGGCCAUGGAGUUUGAUGCUGUUCUUGAAACAUUUGCAGAACAGAGCAGUACCCCCUCCCCAGAUCCCUCUUGCCACAGUUCAUGAGAUCUAUUCCGAUCUCAUAGAUGAUGCUUGUCUGGGAUUCUGUUUUGAAGUACAUCGAGCUGUGAAGUGUGGUUAUUUCUUUUUGGAUGAGACAGAUCCAGAUAGUAUGAAGGAUUUUGAAAUUGUGGACCAGCCAGGUUUGGACGUCUUUGGCCAAGUCUAUAACCAGUGGAAGAAUAAAGAAUGUGAAUGCCCAAACUGCAGUCGUAGUAUCGCUGCCUCCCGUUUUGCUCCUCAUCUGGAAAAGUGUUUGGGAAUGGGUCGCAACAGCAGCCGGAUUGCAAACAGAAGAAUAGCCAGCAGUAACAAUCUUGGUAAAUCUGAAAGUGAUCAGGAAGACAAUGAUGACAUCAAUGAUAAUGACUGGUCAUAUCGAUCCGAGAAAAAAGCAAAGAAGAGAAAAUCUGACAAGAAUCCUAAUUCGCCACGGAGAUCCAAAUCUCUAAAACAUAAAAAUGGAGAGUUCAGUGGAAACUGUGAUCCAAUUAAGUACAACAGUUCUGGCAUCAACUAUGAAAACCUGGGUCCCGAAGAAUUGCACUCACUGCUGACAACGCAAUGUGGUGCCAUCUCAGAGCACACCAAAAAAAUGUGUACAAGAUCACUGCGAUGCCCUCAGCACACAGAUGAGCAGCGACGAGCUGUGCGGGUCUACCUCCUGGGAUCUUCAGUGAUCUCCUCUCUCUUCCUACCAACGUUAUUGGUCCCUACAUGGACCACGACAUCUGGCUGCUCACUCUCCCUCUUGAGAAUACUGAGAACUCAAUCCGAGAUAUUGCGGACCUUGGCACCAGGGAGGCAACAGACCAUCUGGGAUUCUUGAUCUCUUCCACAGAACCUCAUCUGCCCCCCAACUAUGGAAUCUCCUAUCACUACCGCUCUCCUCUUUUCCCUCCUUCCCUUCUGAGCUGAGGGUCCAGUCUCGGUGCCAGAGAUGCAACCACUGCAACUUGUCCCUGGUAGGUCGUCCCCACCAACAGUAUCCAAAACGGUAUACUUAUUGUUGGUGGGAACAGCCACAGGGGUGCUCUGCUCAUUCUGUCUAUUCCCCUUCCCUCUCCCAACGGUCACCCACCUACCUGUCUCCUGACUCCGGGUGACUAUCUCCCUGAAACUCCUGUUUAUUUCCGCCUCUGCCUCCCGAAUGAUCGGAAGUUCAUCCAGCUCCAACUCCAGUUCCCUAACACGGUUUGUCAGGAGCUGCAGCUGGAUGUACCUUUUGCAGGUGUAGUCAUCAGGGACAACAGUGCUUGCCCUGACUUCCCACAUACAGAGCACUCAACUGCUCUAACUGCUGCCUCCAUUACCUACUUCUAAGGUAUAAUUAAAUUAAUUAAAGGAGCUUACCCAGCUUUACCUCACUUGGAGUGAAGCUCGUCUUCAGCCUCUGCUUGCCGAAGCCUCGUGAGCCAAAGCCUACCUACUCUGUCUCCCUCUACUCCGUCGCCUGCCCCUACGAUGCCAGUUCCGUUAAUCUGUUCACUUUUUAAACUCUGCCACUAUUCUCACAGGCCGACCUUCACGCGCUUACACAAUUGUGCUCCAUGCAAAUUGCUGAAGAAAUGACCUUGUUUGCAUUUUUUAUUUCCUUUGAAGUGAAUGCCAACGUUGCAUUUGCCAUUCCUUUCCACAGACUUAAUUUGUAAAUUUAACUUUCUGGGUUAAUUUACAUGAGAACUCCUAACUCCCUUUGCACCCUCUGAUGUUUGAAUUUCCUCCCCAUUUAGACAAUGGUCACCAACCAGUCGAUCUUUGAGACUCUCCCAGUAAAUCCAGAAAAAAAAAUGAGAAGUAAAUACACAAAUACAUUAUGCCUGAUAAACCUUUUGAUGUAGUAACUUCUACUUUGUAAAAGGACCACUCGACAACUUCAUGCCCAAAAUGAACAACUUUAUCUAGGACGGUUAAACGAUAUUUACAUACAGAGGUUUUCACUAAUGCACACCGGACAGAAAAAAUCGGAAGGAAAACCCCGCAACCUGGAAACAAUCUCUCUUUACAAACAGCUUUCCAUAGCGGGAGUAUUGCUAUAUUACCAUGAUCCUAAUUGGUAUUAAUUUAUAUUCAUAACACUCACAUUACAACAUUUCUCCCCCUUUAAAUUCCAACAUUCCCCAAAUGUACAAGAAAAGGGAAUCAAAAACAAUGGUGUCAUUAGCUGAAUACCACUGAAAUUUACCCUAGUGUCUCAGUAACUGUUCCCCAAUACCAGGAAAGUUGAGGAUCUGAAAUCGGUGUUGAACGCCAAGCAAACAUGCUGCUCAGAGGACGUGGAUCGACAAGUGUUAAAGGACGUCACUCUGUGAAUAUUUUUAACUACAGUUUGAUGAAUCCCUGGAUGUAAUGCAAACAGCUGAGCUUGUUGUACUUGUCAGAAUGGCUUUCCAGGAUUUUACAUCAGAGGAGGACUUCCUCACUCUUUCGCACUUAAAGGAGAGAGCGAGAGAUCCCUUCCAGAAUCUGAAAUAACUGUCGAAAAUGAGAAUCAUGAUGCCUCAGAGAUCCAGAGCUUUCUGAGCCGAAUGCAGUGGGAUGUAACAUCAGAUAAUUCACCUUCUGAUUCAGCAUCUUCCAAAACAGGUG
Hypanus sabinus (Atlantic stingray) is the source of this 4294-nucleotide RNA transcript. It is a transcript of the gene named ataxin-7-like protein 3, with no coding region annotated. The record is from RefSeq and is a predicted model, not a curated record. Lineage: Eukaryota; Metazoa; Chordata; Chondrichthyes; Myliobatiformes; Dasyatidae. The transcript is spliced from 14 exons.